GGCUAAGGCGAGCACCAUCUUCUCCCCUGCAACCAGCAUGUACUUCUCGUCUGCAGCCCACCAAGGAACACGAGCAGAGGCAGCCAGAGGAUGUGGCUUGUCACUCCUGGUUCUCAGGCUUUCACACUCUAGCUAGAGUCUACAUGAUCCACAAUCAGCUCUCCAGCUUUCAGGCUCCCAAACUACACUGCUGGCUCUCCUGGGUCUUCAGUUCACAGAUGGUAGAUUGUGAAAUUUCUCAGCCUCCAUAACGGAUAAGAAGUAUAAAAAGAAAAGGUACAACAUCUGAGGGGUUUGGGAACCUAUGCUUUAUUUGCCCUGUGCAGCAUCCUUAGCUUUUCACAAGUGAGAAAUGACAAGAGAAUGGUUACCAUCAGCCAGCUACACUCUUGGCAAGCAGGCUGGCCACAGAGCGGCUCAGUCAUAU
Molecule: long non-coding RNA, 427 nt
Organism: Canis lupus familiaris (dog)
Lineage: Eukaryota; Metazoa; Chordata; Mammalia; Carnivora; Canidae
Exons: 3
Source: RefSeq, a predicted model, not a curated record